RNAcentral lists this ribosomal RNA (207 nucleotides) under uncultured bacterium. Its description in RNAcentral is "partial 16S ribosomal RNA". It matches the Rfam family "Bacterial small subunit ribosomal RNA", at positions 568 to 774 of the family's 1533-position model. The record is from RNAcentral.
CACGUAGGCGGACUGGAAAGUUGGAGGUGAAAUCCCAGGGCUCAACCUUGGAACUGCCUUCAAAACUAUCAGUCUGGAGUUCGAGAGAGGUGAGUGGAGUUCCGAGUGUAGAGGUGAAAUUCGUAGAUAUUCGGAGGAACACCAGUGGCGAAGGCGGCUCACUGGCUCGAUACUGACGCUGAGGUGCGAAAGCGUGGGGAGCAAACA